UUAUAUGGUCAAGCGAAUAAGCGCAUACGGUGGAUGCCUAGGCGAUAAGAGGCGAUGAAGGACGUAGUAGUCUGCGAUAAGCUUCGGGGAGUUGACAAACUAACUUUGAUCCGAAGAUUUCCGAAUGGGGAAACCCACUGCUUCGGCAGUAUCUGUAUCUGAAUUCAUAGGGUAUAGAGGCGAACCCGGGGAACUGAAACAUCUAAGUACCCGGAGGAAAAGAAAUCAACCGAGAUUCCCUGAGUAGCGGCGAGCGAAAGGGGAUCAGCCCAGUUACCACAAGCUUAAAUCAUUUAGAUGAACGUUCUGGAAAGUUCGGCCAUAGCGGGUGAUAGCCCCGUAAUCGAAAAGUGGCUUAAGUGGGGUAACAAAGAGUAAGUCGGGACACGUGAUAUCUUGACUGAACAUGGGGGGACCAUCCUCCAAGGCUAAAUACUACUUAUCGACCGAUAGUGAACCAGUACCGUGAGGGAAAGGUGAAAAGAACCCCGGAGAGGGGAGUGAAAUAGAACCUGAAACCGUAUGCGUACAAGCAGUGGGAGCACCUUCGGGUGUGACUGCGUACCUUUUGUAUAAUGGGUCAGCGACUUACUUUCAGUAGCAAGCUUAACCAAUAGGGAAGGCGUAGGGAAACCGAGUCUUAAUAGGGCGAAUUAGUUGCUGGGAGUAGACCCGAAACCGGGCGAUCUAUCCAUGGCCAGGUUGAAGGUGGGGUAAUACCUACUGGAGGACCGAACCCACUUAUGUUGAAAAAUGAGGGGAUGAGCUGUGGAUAGGAGUGAAAGGCUAACCAAGCCCGGAGAUAGCUGGUUCUCCUCGAAAUCUAUUUAGGUAGAGCCUCGUGUCUCACUCUAGGGGGUAGAGCACUGUUAUGGCUAGGGGGUCAUCCCGACUUACCAACCCAUUGCAAACUCCGAAUACCUAGAAGUGCAAUCACGGGAGACACACUGCGGGUGAUAAGGUCCGUAGUGGAAAGGGAAACAGCCCAGACCGUCAGCUAAGGUCCCAAAGUUAUAGCUCAGUGGAAAACGAUGUGGAAAGGCAUAGACAGCCAGGAGGUUGGCUUAGAAGCAGCCACCCUUUAAAGAAAGCGUAAUAGCUCACUGGUCGAGUCGGUCUGCGCGGAAGAUUUACCGGGGCUCAAGCUAUACACCGAAGCUACGGAUGCUAGUUUACUAGCAUGGUAGAGGAGCGUUCUGUAAGCCGUUGAAGGUGUCCUGUAAGGGGUGCUGGAGGUAUCAGAAGUGCGAAUGCUGACAUGAGUAACGAUAAUGGGGGUGAAAAACCCCCACGCCGAAAACCCAAGGUUUCCUGCCCCAUGCUAAUCAGGGCAGGGUGAGUCGGUACCUAAGGCGAGGCCGAAAGGCGUAGUCGAUGGAAAACAGGUUAAUAUUCCUGUACCUCACAUAACUGCGAUGGGGCGACGGAGUAGGCUAGAUUGGCCGGAGAUUGGUUGUUCCGGUUUAAGCGUGUAGGGAGAGUUCUUUGGAAAAUCCGGGAACUUAAUUCUGAGACGUGAUGACGAGUCACUUAAUUGUGAUGAAGUAAUCGAUGCCACACUUCCAAGAAAAACCUCUAAGCUUCAGGUUAUGAGAGACCGUACCCCAAACCGACACAGGUGGGUGGGAUGAGAAUUCUAAGGCGCUUGAGAGAACUCGGGUGAAGGAACUCGGCAAAAUGACACCGUAACUUCGGGAGAAGGUGUGCCCUUGGUAUGUGAAGGCCCUGCGGCUGGAGCAGAAGAGGGUUGCAAUAAAAUGGUGGCUGCGACUGUUUACUAAAAACAUAGCACUCUGCAAACACGUAAGUGGACGUAUAGGGUGUGACGCCUGCCCGGUGCCGGAAGGUUAAUUGAUGGGGUUAUCUUCGGAGAAGCUCUUGAUCGAAGCCCCGGUAAACGGCGGCCGUAACUAUAACGGUCCUAAGGUAGCGAAAUUCCUUGUCGGGUAAGUUCCGACCUGCACGAAUGGCGUAACGAUGGCCACACUGUCUCCACCCGAGACUCAGUGAAAUUGAACUUGCUGUUAAGAUGCAGUAUACCCGCGGCUAGACGGAAAGACCCCGUGCACCUUUACUACAGCUUUGCACUGGACUUUGAAUAUAUUUGUGUAGAAUAGCUGGGAGGCUUUGAAGUGUUGUCGCCAGACAGCAUGGAGCCAACUUUGAAAUACCAGCCUGAUAUGUUUGAGGUUCUAACCCAGGUCCAUUAUCUGGAUCGGGGACAGUGUAUGGUGGGUAGUUUGACUGGGGCGGUCUCCUCCCAAAGAGUAACGGAGGAGCGCGAAGGUACCCUCAGCAUGGUCGGAAAUCAUGCAAUGAGCGCAAAGGUAAAAGGGUGCUUGACUGCGAGACAGACACGUCGAGCAGGUACGAAAGUAGGUCUUAGUGAUCCGGUGGUUCUGUAUGGAAGGACCAUCGCUCAACGGAUAAAAGGUACGCCGGGGAUAACAGGCUGAUACCACCCAAGAGUUCAUAUCGACGGUGGUGUUUGGCACCUCGAUGUCGGCUCAUCUCAUCCUGGGGCUGAAGCAGGUCCCAAGGGUAUGGCUGUUCGCCAUUUAAAGAGGUACGCGAGCUGGGUUUAGAACGUCGUGAGACAGUUCGGUCCCUAUCUGCCGUGGGCGUUGGAGAUUUGAGAGGAGCUGCUCCUAGUACGAGAGGACCGGAGUGGACGUUCCCCUGGUGUUCCGGUUGUCAUGCCAAUGGCAUUGCCGGGUAGCUACGAACGGACGGGAUAACCGCUGAAAGCAUCUAAGCGGGAAGCCCCCCUCAAGAUGAGAUCUCCCUGGGAACUUGAUUCCCCUGAAGGGCCCUUGAAGACUACAAGGUUGAUAGGCUGGGUGUGGAAGCGCAGUAAUGCGUGAAGCUAACCAGUACUAAUUGCCCGUGAGGCUUGACCAUAUAAUGCUCAAGCAGUU
RNAcentral lists this ribosomal RNA (2918 nucleotides) under Pseudomonadota bacterium. Its description in RNAcentral is "Proteobacteria bacterium 23S ribosomal RNA". It matches the Rfam family "Bacterial large subunit ribosomal RNA". The record is from RNAcentral. Lineage: Bacteria; Pseudomonadati; Pseudomonadota.